RNAcentral lists this ribosomal RNA (253 nucleotides) under uncultured bacterium. RNAcentral's name for it is "partial 16S ribosomal RNA". It matches the Rfam family "Bacterial small subunit ribosomal RNA", at positions 524 to 776 of the family's 1533-position model. The record is from RNAcentral.
UACGUAGGGUGCAAGCGUUGUCCGGAAUUAUUGGGCGUAAAGAGUUCGUAGGCGGUCUGUUACGUCUGCUGUGAAAACCCGGGGCUUAACCCUGGGCUUGCAGUGGAUACGGGCAGACUAGAGGCAGGUAGGGGAGAAUGGAAUUCCCGGUGUAGCGGUGAAAUGCGCAGAUAUCGGGAGGAACACCGGUGGCGAAGGCGGUUCUCUGGGCCUGACCUGACGCUGAGGAGCGAAAGCGUGGGGAGCGAACAGG